GUGUGGGCUGCCUGCACUCAACGUUGGGAUCAUUCAAUAGAGUGUAACCUCAAUCGGUUUUUGCAGCUUCUGGGUCCCGUGUAGAACGAUUUUUUUGUUCUUUUCCAACUCGAUUUUUAACUCCCUAAACUAGUAGGAUGUUCCAACGGGUGAAGCAACAGUGCUGACGGCAGUUUCAGUGUCAAGUUUUCAUGCCAUGACCAUUAUGACAUUGCCUUGGACAUCAAACUAAACCAUCUCAUUCUGGCUUUUGAGGUGGAUUCUAACAUCGAAAUCUCAGAAGGACAGGUCUAAGAUGGACGCAGCCUCCAUAGGAUGCAACCUUGCAUUUGAGAAACACCCAUAGAACGGUCAACUUACCCCAUACUCUAACCUGAAUGCAGGGAUCAUAAAACUUUAUCUUUUACCUUAAUUGUUAGAUGGGUGUUGAUACCAAACUUUUUUUCUCGUCUACCCAGGAGAAAGUCAUGGUGUUCUGCUGCUAAGGUUGUCAUAAACGUCUUUUAUUCUGCUUACCUGACUCAUGCAGAAUUCUGGCUUGAUGUUUGGUCCACCUGUUAGCUGGCUCUGGUGCUUGGUAGUCUUCUCAAACCUCUGAAUCAAGACCACCAUGAGAGGCCUUCUGAAGACCAUCAUUACGCUUCAGAUCCAGUUGUCUUUACUUUGAGCCUACCACAAUCCCUGUGCACCAGCUAUGGAAAGUGCAGACCAAACUUCUACCUCCACCUAUAGAACUGAACUGGAGUCUAUGAACUAAUGCUGUGUUCGAGACAACUUGGAUGUUGGAUAUUAUUGACCUUAAACCCGUAAGAAGUCAGGAACAGGAAACAAAGUGGAGUAUCCGACCUCUCAACUUGGACCAGAUCGAUCAACACCGACCUCAACGAGAUGCGUCAUUUGACAUUGCAGACAAGAUCCUUUCUCUUUUUAAUGCAGCACUUAAGGAUGAACCACCCUGAUCUACUAAGAUGCACAGAUUCAACUCUGGCCCAGCAUCAUCCCCACACCUCAUCUGCCAUCAGUUUAAUUUAAUGUCUGUCAAUUGCAAAUGGUAUUUAUUUCAGUUAUAUUACAACUUAAUAUUAAAGGAAUAGUCUACCCUUUUGCCAUAUUAAACUAUGUUAUUACCUCAACCUAGAUGAAUUAAUACAUACCUAUCUUUUUUCAAUGCGUGCACCGUACAGCGCGUUGUGAAUGUGUUAGCAUUUAGCCUAGCCCCAUUCAUUCCUAUGGUACCAAAAAAGUUUUAUUUUGUGGCACCAUACUUACUGGUAUAACUCCUCAUGUAACAGUCUUAAAAUAGGGAAAACACGAAAGUGUUUGGUGGCUUCCCUGUUUGGUACCAUAGGAAUGAAUGGGGCUAGGCUAAAUGCUAACACAUUCACGACACGCUGUACAGU
Non-coding RNA from Misgurnus anguillicaudatus (oriental weatherfish), 1400 nucleotides. NCBI's taxonomy places the organism in Eukaryota, Metazoa, Chordata, Actinopteri, Cypriniformes, Cobitidae. The record is from RefSeq and is a predicted model, not a curated record.